Orcinus orca (killer whale) is the source of this 1299-nucleotide long non-coding RNA. RefSeq lists it as uncharacterized. The transcript has 4 exons. NCBI's taxonomy places the organism in Eukaryota, Metazoa, Chordata, Mammalia, Artiodactyla, Delphinidae. The record is from RefSeq and is a predicted model, not a curated record.
UGCCUGUGGGGGCCAGAAAAAGUCUCAGAAAACAGAUUGGGGAAACCUUCAUUGUCUCUGGGACUCUGCGGAUACCAGGACGCCUCCUCCCACUGGGACUCAGGAGUCCACCCCCUCCUCUCUUAGUGACCCAAGAGACCACGCCCCUCCUUCCCAGGAUCCAAGAGUCCCGGCUCUCAUUCUGGGCGCUGACCGUAAGCUGAGGGGUCUGCGAUGUGUUCCUCCAUGAAGCAGCCGAAACCAGAAAGAAUUGAUUCCUUGAAUAAGGACUGACAACAAAGCAGAACUCCCAGCCAUCUCUGGGGUCAGAGCUAACACGGCAAGCUGCCUCCAGGGCUGCUGGGAAUCGCCAUCUUUCGACUCAGGAGUCCAAACCAUACCUGCGUGGCAAAGAUGGCUCUCUUCAUCAUAGUGAAGUCCUCCUUGUCCAGCAUCUUGUUCAUGUCUGGGAGGCUCCCCCUGUAAGAUGAGGAAACUGAGGCUUGAAGACGGGGAGUGGUUUGCCUAAAGUCACAAAGCCAGAGCAGGACAGGGGCAUGAGCGGGAUCUCGCCAGCUUGAUACCAGAGCCCUGGUCAUGCUGUCACACUUGUCCUGCCUGCGACUGCGACUUCGUACUGCCCCCGAGUUGCAGGCAUCUGGAGCAAGUAACUUUGCUGGGAAUCAGCCCAGGCCUUACUCUGAGCAGAUAGUUGAGCCGGGCCAAGGCCUCCAGGAAGACAUCGGCCCCCUUGUUGGAGAAUUCAUAGCGGCCAGCGAUAAAGAAGUACAAGGUCUUGUCCAAGUUGAAGUCCAGGUGCCUAAAGAAGCCACAACACAGGGUGAAGCCAAGACCCUCACCCACUAGCCCCAGCCUUGAAACUACAAACCCCAGAAGCCACAGGGGCAAAGAACAUCUUAGGACAGAGGCAUCAUGGGAACUCCUGGGAAUUGUUCUUUUCUCCUUAGAUGGGGAUUUCCUUAAAUACUCAGCCAUUGUUCUGGCGCUCAAGAACUCAAGAGGCUGAGUCUUCAGCUGUCCCCUCUGCUGGCCCCAGGAGUCUGGGUUCCCAACCACCCUCUCUCUCAAGACCUAGGUAUCUGGCCUACAUACCCAUAAAAAUGGCCCCGCACAAACUCCUGGAUUCGAGCCUUGCUCUGAGCAUGGAGGUUCUGGAACUCAUGCAUGGCAGAGAAUUUCUUCACAUUCAGUCCAUUGGGGGUCACGAUAUCUGGGAUUGGGGGAGAAGGUCCCACAUUUCAUUUCUUCAUUUCUUCGUUCAGAUCAAUGUGGCUGAAUGAAUAAAUGAAGGAAAGACCC